This is a long non-coding RNA of Papaver somniferum (opium poppy), 1210 nucleotides long. RefSeq lists it as uncharacterized. The record is from RefSeq and is a predicted model, not a curated record. The transcript has 2 exons. Lineage: Eukaryota; Viridiplantae; Streptophyta; Magnoliopsida; Ranunculales; Papaveraceae.
CAUCAACUAAAUCUAUUGUUUCUUCGUCAUUUCUUUUCUUCUAUUUCAUAUGUCGAAAGCAGCUUUCCAUGCUUCCUCUACCGUUGUUGAUGACAACAUAACCAGAGAAAACUUCAGUCUCUCAUCCAUUUUAUGAUGACAGCUUAGAUCUGUAGUUACUCUAUUUGAAUCUUUGUUUUGGGAACAAAAUCAUCUCUGAAAUCUUUGACCUAGCUUUCAAUCUGAUCGAAAAUCGAACUUCAAAUUCGAGAUUAAUGCAUCUUAAUUUCUAUUACCGAUCGAAUCUAUUUGAAUUCAUCUACUUUUAAUUUUCGAUCUCAUCGGAGGUUAUAUUGUUUUUGAUCAAUUUGUUUUAGAUCCAUUCGAAGAUUAAUUUGUUCGGAUUAUAUUAUGCAGUUUCAUUUAGAUAAUCAAGUGAAGAGGUUAUGAUGACAUUAGUCGUUACUGGAAAUUAGAAUAGGGAACAACAUUUAAGUCUAAUGACGAUACAGACGUUGCACCAAGUCAAAUGAGGUUAUUACUAGCAGCACUUGAAGUAAAUGGAGUAUUGCAAUGGAUACCACCAUCUUCCAGCUGAUAUUUUACUAACACCCAUCAUGUCCUUCACAAAAUGAGAGCUACAAGUUCAUUUUUCCGUCAUCUCAUGUAGCUUACGAUGUUGAGAUAUGUAUGCACAUCGUACAUUGGGAAUCAAAAGAUUGGGCUGUCGAGAUCUUCAAUUAGCAGUCCAUGCAUUACUAUCAAUUCUGCCAUUCGUACACAAAAAUUGCUUGAAAAGGAAAUAUAAGGGCAUCUCCUCUUUCCUGGUGGGUCUCACUAACUUCUGAUGGUAUCAUGUUCUUUUGGAAGAAGAAAUCUAAAGAACCAUUUAAUUAGUUCAGAGUUGUACAUUUGUUUAAGAUAGAACUUCUAUUUUGUGGGUACAGAGAUGUAAAUUUAGGAGUUGGACCCCACCGGUCCCAACUUUCUUUGAAGUAGUUAUUGCCGUAGUCAGUGUCCCAUUUUUGGUGAUUAACAUUUUUCUUUCAUGGGAAUAGUGGCGUUCUUCUGUAAGAUCAAGAUCAUCCUAAACAAGCAUUUGUUGUAGUUUGCAAUGGGCAGGCUUUUUCUCAUUUCAUGGAUUAGAUUAGCAGUAGCAUAGUAGGGAGGCAUAAUGUGUACAUGAUUGUACACUUAUUGAUUCUUAAUGGCACUAUAUUUUGUCUGGGAA